UUUAGGAGUAGUAUAAACCUAAGACACAGUGAUGGUGGGUUGUGUGUAGGAGUAGUAUUAACAUGAGACACAGUGAUGGUGGGUUGUGUUUAGGAGUAGUUUAAACAUGAGACAGUGACGGUGGGUUGUGUUUAGGAGUAGUAUAAACCAAAGACACGGUGAUGGUGGGUUGUGUUUAGUAUGAAGUAUUUUGUUGGUUUAAAUGCACACACUCAGUAUCACUUCCCUGUUCUCCUUUCCUGUCUGUCCCGAGUCAUAUCAGAAAUCUGUAUAUACACAUUAGACUUUACAGAACAUGUUCCUCUGUAGCUCAGUUGGUAGAACAUGGCACCUGCAACGUUAUGGGUUUGGUUCCCAGGACCACCCAUAGGUGCUCUAGUCUAGAACACUGAACCUUCAGUACCACUUUGAUGCAGCUGAUGAGGAGUGAUGGUCAUGGGUGUUUAAAUGGAAUGGGUUCUAAUUGAAUAACAUCAAUGAACUUUGACCUGUAUAUUCAGAACUCAGAAGGGCAAGGUAGGUCAUUAAAAUGAUAAUGUUAUAAAUAGUAUAGUCAACACAUUGUUUACAUGGUUCUGUCUGUAGUAUAAAAGACCACAGUGAAAACUGACACAUUUUUUAAAUAAAAUAAAUAUAUGCCCAGACUUGUCUUUUACAUCAUUUCUGUUCUAUUACAGUAACAGCCCUUUUCUGGUGUGUUGGUCUGGUUGCCAUGUUAAUGUCUUUACUAAACAGGAAGGACAGUUCUGCAUCCACUACUUGUGUUCUGACUGCUUUUAUAAGGUUUCAACACUUACUUCUUGUUUUCACUCACUACCAGACAGUUGACUCACUGUACAAGACCUCUCCUCUUCACUUCACUCUGGAAAUACUCUUGACAAUAUCUUGAAAUAUAGUUUUGGGUUAUUUGUUUUUAGUCAUAAGUCAAAUACUUGAGGACUGCAGGGUGGGAGAUGCAACAAUGGUCUUGAGAACAGCAGGAAGUGUGUUGGUGGUCUUUCUCUGGUCUGUGACAGUGGUACUGGGUCAGGAUGGCUGGAGUGUUACAUACACCACUCAGAGUAUCUGUACCUUGAAGGGGUCAACAGUGGAUCUGUUCUGCUCUUACACAUAUCCCAGUGGUCAUAAAGUCACAACAACCUUCUGGUUCACUAAAAUGGAGGCUGGUAUAGAACCUGAAGAUCUAGGUCAGGACCCAGAGUAUGCAGGUCAUCUGGAGUAUCAUGGAGAUAAGAAGAAAGAAUGUACCCUGAAAAUCACAGACUUGAGAGAGAGAGACUCAGCUACGUACAAGUUCAGAUUACUAACAGAUCAGGAAGGAGGGAAAUAUUCUGGAAGUCCUGGAGUCACUCUGUCUGUCACAGGUCUUCAGGUGAAGGUGACUGGAGGACAUCAGGACAAGACACUGACCUGUAGCACCACCUGUACUCUGACUGACAACCCCACCUACAUCUGGUACAAGAACGGACAACAUCUAGAUGAGAGCACCUCCCCCAAGUACAAAUACUCAGUCUCCAAUGACUAUGAUGCCAGUUAUUCCUGUGCUGUAAAAGGCCACGAGGACCUCCACUCUCCUGCAGUGUGUGUUUGGGGUCAGAGCUGCAACAGAGUGACUUACACCAAGAGGAGAAUCUGUGUCUUGAAGGGGUCAACAGUGGACAUAUCCUGUACUUGUGUUGGUUAUUAUUCCACAACAUCAUCAUUCUGGUUUAGAAGUGAUAAGUCGACCCCUGAAGACCUAACCACAGACCCAGGGUAUGCAGGUCGUGUGAAGUACCCUGACAAAGAGACAAGGAGAAACGAAGGUCCCUCCAUCCUGAGAAUCACAGAUCUGAGAGAGGAGGACUCAGCUGAGUAUCGCUUCACUUUUAAAACAAACAACUUUGAAUGGGGUCAUAGUUUCCCAGGAACAACUCUGUCUGUCACAGGUCUGCAGGUGAAGGUGACUCCUGCUGCAGAGGGACAGAAGACACUGACCUGUAUCACCACCUGUACUCUGACUGACAACCCCACCUACAUCUGGUACAAGAACGGACAACAUCUAGAUGAGAGCACCUCCCCCAAGUACAAAUACUCAGUCUCCAAUGACUAUGAAGACAGUUACUCCUGUGCUGUAAAAGGCCAUGAGGAUCUCCACUCUCCUGCAGUUUGUGUUCAGGGUCAGAGAUGCUACAGAGUGACUAACACCAAGAGGAGAAUCUGUGUCUUGAAGGGUUCAACAGUGGACAUAUCCUGUACUUAUGUUGGUUAUUAUUCCACCACAUCAUCAUUCUGGUUUAGAAGUGAUAAGUCGACCCCUGAAGACCUAACCACUGACCCAGGGUAUGCAGGUCGUGUGGAGUACACCGGAACAUACAAAGGUCCCUUCACCCUGAGAAUCACAGAUCUGAGAGAGGAGGACUCAGCUGAGUAUCGCUUCACUUUUAAAACAGACAACUUUGACUGGGGUCAUAGUUUCCCAGGAACAACUCUGUCUGUCACAGACCUGCAGGUGAAGGUGACUCCUGCUGUAGAGGGACAGAAGACACUGACCUGUAUCACCACCUGUACUCUGACUGACAACCCCACCUACAUCUGGUACAAGAACGGACAACGUCUAGAUGAGAGCACCUCCCCCCAGUACAAAGACCCAGUCUACAGUAACUAUGGAGACAGUUACUCCUGUGCUGUAAAAGGCCAUGAGGAUCACCACUCUCCUGCAGUGUGUGUUGUGGGUGAGAGCUGUAUGAAUGUGACUUACACCCAUCAGAGUAUCUGUGCUUUGAAAGGGUCAACAGUGGACAUAUCCUGCUUUUACACACAUCCCAGUUGGCAUAACGUCACAGAAGUGUCCUGGUUCAACAAAUGGGAGUCUGGUGUCACUAAAGACCUGAGCCUGAACCCAGAGUAUGCAGAUCGUGUGGAAUACCAUCGACAAACAGAAAAGGACUCCACCCUGAGAAUCACAGACCUGAGAGAAAGUGACUCAACUGAGUACAAGUUCAAAUUUACAACUGAUGAGGCAAGAUGGGGGUCCAGCUUCCCUGGAACAACUCUGACUGUCACAGGUUUUCAGGUGGAGGUGACUCCUAAAUGGAGUUCAGAGUAUAAGACACUGACCUGUAUCACCACCUGUACUCUGAGUAACCCCAACCCCAUCUAUAUCUGGUACAAGAACGGACAACAUCUAGAUGAGAGCACCUCCCCCCAGUACAAAGACCCAGUCUCCAGUAACCAUGACGAUAGUUACUCCUGUGCUGUGAAAGGUCAUGAGGAUCUACUCUCUCCUGCAGUGUGUGUUCAGGGUCAGAGCUGCUACAGAGUGACUUACACCAAGAGGAGAAUCUGUGUCUUGAAGGGGUCAACAGUGGACAUAUCCUGUACUUAUGUUGGUUAUUAUUCCACCACAUCAUCAUUCUGGUUCAGAAGUGAUAAGUCGACCCCUGAAGACCUAACCAGAGUCCCAGGGUAUGCAGGUCGUGUGGAGCACACUGGAACAUACAGAGGUCCCUCCUCCCUGAGAAUCACAGAUCUGAGAGAGGAGGACUCAGCUGAGUAUCGCUUCACUUUUAAAACAAACAACUUUGAAUGGGGUCAUAGUUUCCCAGGAACAACUCUGUCUGUCACAGGUCUGCAGGUGAAUGUGACUCCUGCUGUAGAGGGACAGAAGACACUGACCUGUAUCACCACCUGUACUCUGACUGACAACCCCACCUACAUCUGGUACAAGAACGGACAACGUCUAGAUGAGCCCACUUCCCAACAAUACUCUAGUAAUAUCCUAGUAGUGUUGGGUCAUUCUGUGGACAGUUACUCCUGUACUGUAGAACACCAUGAGGACCUCCACUCUCCUGCAGUGUAUGCUCCAAGGAACACCUCAGUGUCAGUCAGUCCCUCUGGUGAAAUAGUGGAGGGCAGUUCAGUGACUCUGACCUGCAGCAGUGAUGCCAACCCACCUGUGGACAAAUACACCUGGUACAAGAAGAACGUAACCUCACCAAAAGCAUCAGGACAGAGUUACAACAUCACUAACAUCAGCUCUGAGGACAGAGGAGAAUAUUACUGUGAGGCCCAGAAUGGAAGAGGAUCUAUGAACUCUACAGCUCUGAUGAUCAUUAUAGCAGGGAAACAGACCUCAGUUCUGACUGCAGCUGUAGGAAUCAUAGUGGUUGUUCUGGUUCUCAUCCUCUGUCUCUCUGGACUCAUGUGUUUCAGGAGUUUCACAGGAGGAAGUGAUGCGUCAACAGACACAGAGUGUCCGUCCUGACUGUAACAGUGACACGUACACAGCUCUGAACAUGAGGACCAUGUCCCCUGACUACGACACUCUGAUAAGUGUCCAUCCUGACCCUAACAGUGAUACAUACACACCUCUGAACAUGAAGACCAGGUCACCAGAGUAUGACACCCUGGCAAAUGUGAGGGGAAUCUCCCACUGAAGAGUAUCACCACAGAACCUGGACGGAAGAGAAGCACCACAGAUCCUGGACUGAAGAGAACAACCAACAUUGAACCUGGACUGAAGAGAAGCACCACAGAACCUGGACUGAAGAGAACCAUCAUAGAUCCUGGACUGAAGAGAACCAUCACAGAUCCUGGACUGAAGAGAACCACCACAGAUCCUGGACUGAAGAGAACCACCAACAGUGAACCUGGACUGAAGAGAAGCACCACAGAACCUGGACUGAAGAGAACCAUCAUAGAUCCUGGACUGAAGAGAACCAUCACAGAUCCUGGACUGAAGAGAACCACCACAGAUCCUGGACUGAAGAGAACCACCAACAUUGAACCUGGACUGAAAAUGAUCACCACACAACCUGGACUGAAGGUUCCAAUACAAAACGAGGCCUUACACCUCUAUUCUGUUGUUGCCAUAUGUAGAAGUUUUUACACACCAUGAACUUUAACCUUUCAGUAAAUACUGGAAUAUAUAUUUUCUUUUCUUAUAAUGAUAAUUAUAUAUUAUUUUAUAUAUUUAUUAUAUAAUUAUAUAUUUUUUAAUGUAAAUAGCAACAUUUUCUUGUGUACCAAUCUGUUUACUAUCUUUAGUUUUAUUUCUGAUCUUUUGAUGGGAUUUUGCCAUAUACAGAUGUUUUAUAACAUCAAUAGUCCUACUUUCCUCAGCAACUAAUAUAGAUAAUAUUGACAACAGCUUUUAAUAUAUUUAGCUCUUGGGCCAAGUUUCUCCUGAUGUGUUUAAUGGUGAUUUACUUUGUAUUGCUGUCAGAUAUCAUUACUAAUUUUAUAUUAUGUAAUACAAUAUUGUUCCGUCAUGAUAUAUUUUUUAUUUUAAAAUAAAUUCAAUCAGUUAUUAUAAUUUCCAACAUUUUGGUAGGCUAUUUGUUAGUCAACUUGUCUAUCAUUUCUAAAUACAUGCAGUGGCGACACGUCAUUCAAGGCAGCUGAGGCAGAGCUAAAUCUGUUUUCAGCCCCAUGGUUAGCUUUUUUUGUUGCUUGUUUUGCAUGUUUUUAAAUGAAUACGUGACACAUAUCAGUUUGCAAAUAAAGUUAAUGAAUAAAUAAAGCAUUGAGUUAAUAAAGUCGCAUAGAAACAUGG
Oncorhynchus kisutch (coho salmon) is the source of this 5536-nucleotide RNA transcript. It is a transcript of the gene named B-cell receptor CD22-like, with no coding region annotated. The record is from RefSeq and is a predicted model, not a curated record. The transcript has 18 exons. NCBI's taxonomy places the organism in Eukaryota, Metazoa, Chordata, Actinopteri, Salmoniformes, Salmonidae.